RNAcentral lists this ribosomal RNA (853 nucleotides) under uncultured Actinomycetes bacterium. RNAcentral describes it as "bacterial SSU rRNA". It matches the Rfam family "Bacterial small subunit ribosomal RNA", at positions 58 to 887 of the family's 1533-position model. The record is from RNAcentral. Lineage: Bacteria; Bacillati; Actinomycetota; Actinomycetes.
CAAGUCGAACGCGAAAGUCCCCUUCGGGGGGCGAGUAGAGUGGCGCACGGGUGAGUAACACGUAGGUAAUCUACCUUUGGAUUGGGAAUAACCACCGGAAACGGUGGCUAAUACCGAAUAAUGCAGCGGCACCUAAUGGUGACAGUUGUUAAAGCGGGGGAUCGCAAGACCUCGCGUCUGAAGAGGAGCCUGCGGCAGAUUAGCUAGUUGGUAAGGUAACGGCUUACCAAGGCGAUGAUCUGUAGCCGGCCUGAGAGGGCGGUCGGCCACACUGACACUGACAUACGGGUCAGACUCCUACGGGAGGCAGCAGUCGGGAAUUUUGGGCAAUGGGCGAAAGCCUGACCCAGCAACGCCGCGUGAAGGAUGAAAUCCCUCGGGAUGUAAACUUCGCAAGAACGGGAAGAAUAAGUAAGAGCUAACAUCUCUUACGAUGACGGUACUGUUUGUAAGCUCCGGCUAACUCCGUGCCAGCAGCCGCGGUAAUACGGGGGGAGCAAGCGUUGUUCGGAUUUACUGGGCGUAAAGGGCGCGUAGGCGGCACCGCAAGUCGACUGUGAAAUCUCCGGGCUUAACUCGGAAAGGUCAGCCGAUACUGCGGGGCUAGAGUGCAGAAGGGGCAACUGGAAUUCUCGGUGUAGCGGUGAAAUGCGUAGAUAUCGAGAGGAACACCUGCGGCGAAGGCGGGUUGCUGGGCUGACACUGACGCUGAUGCGCGAAAGCUAGGGGAGCGAACGGGAUUAGAUACCCCGGUAGUCCUAGCCUUAAACGAUGAAUGCUUGGUGUCUGGGGUUUUAUAGUCCCCGGGUGCCGUCGCUAACGCUUUAAGCAUUCCGCCUGGGGGAGUACGGUC